This 518-nucleotide small RNA is filed under the name Arabidopsis thaliana (thale cress). RNAcentral's name for it is "ATSL284210". Lineage: Eukaryota; Viridiplantae; Streptophyta; Magnoliopsida; Brassicales; Brassicaceae. The record is from RNAcentral.
AUGAAAUUAAAUAAGGACAACAGGGUAUUUUAAUAUAUUCGGCCAAUAUAUAUAUAUCAAUAGAAAAAUAAACUUUUUUUUACCCGUGAUGAUUAUGAUAACAAUAUUAGACAAACAAAAGAAUUUCUUAAAAAGAUAGUAUGAUAUUGUGAAUUUCUACAGUGCUAACAAUGCGUCUCUUAACCUCAACUUAUAUAUUUUGAAACUUUAUUCAAGUUGAUACGAUUAAGAACACCACCAUAAAACUAUGUCAUUGUUGCUUUAACUCUUCACAGAACAAACACAUCUUAAUCCUUUAUCACUUAACCGUCAUUUGAAAAAAUCCUUUACAUAUUUCCUUCUUAUGGUGCCUCUUUCCAUCCUCUUAUGAUUUUGUUUAAAUCGUACGUGUACUAUCUUCCAAAUUUUUCACAUGCUCUAUAUUUUUUUUAAAAAAUCUCUUACUUUCCUUGAAAGUAAAAGCUUUUUUCAAGCUUGUCGAAAGAUAGGUUAGUUAAGUUAAUAAACUCGUUAUUUGA